UCUAAAUCUAAGCCACUAUGUCUUUGAAGGGUCUCUUGGCUUCGGAUAUGAGUUGAUACGCCAGUCUAGAUAAAAUAAUUCUGUGAUAUAGUUUUCCGAUCUUGUCUACGUGCAGAUGAAAAUCUGGUUGAGUUCCACCGUUUGAUUGUGGCCUUGUUUCUUGAACAACACUGCCAUUAAAGGUCGUGUUUUUUAGUUGCACAGAUAACGUAGUCGCCACGACAGAAACAUUGCCGAGGUGUUGGGUAGGCCGCCGGUCACCAUUCCUACAAUUUUCUUUACACUUACUACACCUACAAAGUGCGUAGAGAUCUCUGCCGCACCCCUCGGAAGCCGCUUGACGAUUGACAACAAAGCAGACGGAGGACUUCCCAAGGUGUUCCCAAAACGCAAACAGUCGGCAUCACUUCUUUUCGGAUCGUGCUUUGAACGCACGAAAUAAAAAGCGAAAUGGGGGCGCUGGUAAGGGCGGCAAUCUACAUCAACUAUCACCGCUUCCUGUCU
This is a long non-coding RNA of Varroa destructor (honeybee mite), 504 nucleotides long. The record is from RefSeq and is a predicted model, not a curated record. Lineage: Eukaryota; Metazoa; Arthropoda; Arachnida; Mesostigmata; Varroidae.